AUACAGGGGGUGCAAGCGUUGUUCGGAAUUACUGGGCGUAAAGGGAGCGUAGGUGGAUCUACAAGACAGUGGUUAAAUCUCCGGGCUCAACCUGGAACUUGCCUUUGUGACUGUGGAUCUUGAGUAUGGUAGAGGUAGGCGGAAUUCCGAGUGUAGCGGUGAAAUGCGUAGAUAUUCGGAGGAACACCAGUGGCGAAGGCGGCCUACUGGGCUCUAACUGACGCUGAGGCUCGAAAGUGUGGGGAGC
Molecule: ribosomal RNA, 247 nt
Filed under: uncultured bacterium
Lineage: Bacteria
Description: partial 16S ribosomal RNA
Rfam family: Bacterial small subunit ribosomal RNA
Source: RNAcentral